UCCUGCUUGACGCAGGCAGUCUCGUUAGAGUCCCCGGCAUGACCCGCUGGCAACUAACGAUAAGGGUUUCGCUCGUUAAGGGACUUAACCCGACACUUCACAGCACGAGCUGACGACAGCCAUGCAGCACCUGUGCUAGUUUCACCGAAGCAGCAUAGCCCACUUUCAUGGGUGCAUCCUAGCAUGUCAAACCCAGGUAAGGUUCUUCGCGUUGCUUCGAAUUAAUCCACAUGCUCCACCGCUUGUGUGAGCCCCCGUCAAUUCCUUUGAGUUUUAGCCUUGCGGCCGUACUCCCCAGGCGGCGCACUUAUCGCUUUUGCUACGACACCAAAACCGUCAGAAGUUCUGAUAUCUAGUGCGCAUCGUUUACAGCGUGGACUAC
RNAcentral lists this unclassified non-coding RNA (382 nucleotides) under uncultured bacterium. Its description in RNAcentral is "contains 16S-23S intergenic spacer region". The record is from RNAcentral.